GUUACUGAAAUUCUGCAGACUCAGAUAAACUCAGAUAACAACAAAAGCAAGUUUGUGUUUAUGAUCACUGACAUGAGGUAUGAAAACAUUUGAGUUCGUAUACUCAAAAAACUAUUUACAUUGUAUUCGUUUCCUUUUUGUUGGUUUCCAUUCUGUUAAAAAUCAUAAAGUGUUUUGCUUUUGUUUGUUGUGGUGUAAUUGAACCACAACAUCUUUGCUUUUUUUAUUGGUAGCAAAAUUGUCGUGCAGUGUACACUAUGGGGUAAUUUUGCAUUGCAAUUUUAUGAAUACUACAAGAACCAUGGGGAAGAUGUGAACAUUGUUGUUCUAUUACAAAACGCAAGGAUAAAGGCUGCGAAAGGUAAACGUUAUCGUGUUCUGUUGAUAAUUUAAAUACCCAAUGUAUUUGCUUCAUUAUGCUGAUAUUUAGUUGGUGUUGAAGGAGGUUUUCCUUUAAAUGUAUCCAAUGCUUGGAGUGGCACAAAGCUGAUCAUUAAUGAUAUUAGUAAUGUUGAAAUUAAGAAGCUGAAGGAUAGCCUAAAUGCUGAACUGCCAAAGCUUUCUUCAUCAAGUUUGCAAGUUGAAACAACUCAAACCUCACAGUAUUCCGAUUUUGAUAAAUUUAUAUGGAAGGCCGAAGUCAUUAGUUUGGCUGAGAUCGCGAUGCUUAAACAAGAAACAACAUGUGUCACCAUAGCGAAGUUGGAGAAGUUUGAAGUUGGUAAUUCCGGUUGGUAUUACGAUGGUUGUGCCGAAUGUACCAAGAGCGUCGCUGUAAAAGAUGGCAAACUUAAGUGCUAUGCAAAUCACAUAAGUUCUGAACCCGUGCCAAGGUACAAGCUUGAAGUGUUGGGAGUUGAUGGUAAAUUCAAGUCCCGUUUCGUCUUUUGGGAUAGUGACUGUUUCAAGUUAAUUGGAAAAUCUGCUCUACAGAUGAAAAAUGAAUUAGU
Long non-coding RNA from Lathyrus oleraceus (garden pea), 950 nucleotides. RefSeq lists it as uncharacterized. Lineage: Eukaryota; Viridiplantae; Streptophyta; Magnoliopsida; Fabales; Fabaceae. The record is from RefSeq and is a predicted model, not a curated record. The transcript is spliced from 4 exons.